UGGAGGUAGAAGGCCUACGGGUCGUGAACUUCUUUUCCCGGAGAAGAAGCAAUGACGGUAUCUGGGGAAUAAGCAUCGGCUAACUACGUGCCAGCAGCCGCGGUAAUACGUAGGGUGCAAGCGUUAAUCGGAAUUACUGGGCGUAAAGCGUGCGCAGGCGGUUGUGCAAGACAGAUGUGAAAUCCCCGGGCUUAACCUGGGAACUGCAUUUGUGACUGCACGGCUAGAGUGUGUCAGAGGGAGGUAGAAUUCCACGUGUAGCAGUGAAAUGCGUAGAUAUGUGGAGGAAUACCGAUGGCGAAGGCAGCCUCCUGGGAUAACACUGACGCUCAUGCACGAAAGCGUGGGGAGCAAACAGGAUUAGAUACCCUGGUAGUCCACGCCCUAAACGA
This 392-nucleotide ribosomal RNA is filed under the name uncultured bacterium. RNAcentral's name for it is "bacterial SSU rRNA". It matches the Rfam family "Bacterial small subunit ribosomal RNA", at positions 402 to 809 of the family's 1533-position model. The record is from RNAcentral.